CCGGCCGCGAGGCCGCAAGCACUGGGUGGACCGUCGGACGGAUCGCGGGACCGAACGACGGACGCCCGGGGCCGGCGUGGGGCUGGUCGGCUGCCCGGGGCGAGGGCGGGAGACUUCCUGCUCAGAACCAGUCCGACCAGCUUGGCGCUGGGACGCCUCCCCGCGCUGUGCCGCGGCCCGGGGUGCCGAGGAGCUGGGCUGGGGGCGGGGACCCCUGCCGGGAACCCGACUUAGCCCGGAGACGCUCAAGAGCAAGAAGCCGAGCGGAAAAGUUAGCGCAGGUUGUGGAAAUCAUAUGAGUUCCCUGCUAGUGACAUUGGAGUGCACAGAUGAAUAUCGACAAGGCUCCAGGGAGUUCUGAACAGAGGCCAAGGCAGGCCCUGGAGCUGUAUGCUGCUUACAGGAAAAGAGAAAGAGGGGACCCCAAUAGUCUAGGUCCCUGGAUCCUCUGACCCGGGGCCUGACACUGUCAGGGAAGCUGCUGUCUCCCUAGGGACCUACUGAAUGUUCUUCCCAUGGCUGGUCAGUGCUGACACCUCAACACAGGAAGAGAAAUACUCCUAUGAAGUCAUCUGAAGCCUGGUCAUGCCAGGGACACUUCACGAAGGCAGGAACAGUCCUGUUUCUAAAAGCCCAAAAUCUAACAGCCUCUCUACAGAUAUAAAAGCCCAAAGACAUGGAAAGUUUGUAUGCAGACAACCCUAGAAGUAAGGAAAAGUGAAUGACAUAUAUGUCAAUGCCCAGAAAGUUCCUUGAGAUCAGACACUGUACAUUUAUGGGAUACUUUCUAAGUGCCAGCUACUGUACUUGGUGCUGGAUCAGUGCAUCCAUUUCCCGGGGCUCCCGUGAUGAAGUGCCACAAACUGGAUGGCUUUAAACAACAGAAGUUUACUCUCUCACAGUUCUGAAGGUUAGAAGUCUGCCAUGAAGAUGUGAGCACAGCCAGCCUCUCUCCAAAGGCUCCAGAGGAGAAUCCUUCCUUGCUUCUUCCCAGAGCUCCUUGGCAUACAGCUGCAUUACUCCAAGAUUUGCCUCUCUUGUCACACAGCAUUCUGCCUGUGUCUCUUGUUUGUGUUCAAGUAUCCCUCCACCCUAAUUUAGUAUGACCUCAUUUUAGCUUGAUUAUGCCUGCAAAUACCCUAUUUCCAAAUGAGGUCACAUUCACAGGUACCAGAAGUUAUGAAUUGAACACAUCUUUUUUGGGAUGUGUUCUACCCAUUAUAAUUCAUUCUACCCACUAUAAUCACAAGUGGCUUUGACAUUCAGUGACACAAAGAUGAUAAGGACUCGGUUCCUGACCUCAGGACAUUCUCAGUCUAUCAGUGAAGACAAACACAUGCUGGUGAACACACACACAUACACAAGCACACAUAUACCCCGAGCCUCAUUCAAGUCAGACUGUGAUUAAAAAUGGAAAUUGUGUCAUCAGGAGGGAUUGGGGAAGUCUUCACACAAGAAAGAACAUCUAAGUUGGGCCUUGAAGGACUUGAGGUUGGCCCGCAGAUCCAUGGACACCUUGUGCUUGGAGCCCAGCAGGGCCCGGAGCAUGGCGUCAGCCGAGACACGGACUCGACGCAGGGGCGGGCGCUUGAACUUCCCACGGAGGUCCAUCACCUUCAGCUUCAGGUCCUUAAUCUGUAGGCCAGAGACCAGCACUGGUCCCAGGACCACCACUGUGCAACCUAGGACAAGUCUUUGGCCUCUCUGAUCCUGAGUGUUCUCCUCUGCAAGGUGCAGAUAAUAGCCCCUACUUCAUCCACAGGCCUAUAAGGAGGAUCAAAGGCUAUAACGAACAUGAAAGCACUUCACAAAGGUAAGACGUUAUUAACAGGCAUAUGAUUAUUUGUGUGGGUGGAUAAAGAGAGCAGCUUCUGUUAGGCUGAUGAGCCCACAUGGCAGGUAGGGAGGAAGUUUGUACUUUUCAUGUGUGAUUAUCCACUCUACCCAUCUCCAGCCCUAUGGGGCUAGGGCAGACAAACCAAAGUUUCCUGCUUAAGUGGCCCCUUCCUAGGCCCUGUGGAAGGAGGGGACCUCCCAUGGCUGCUGCAUCCGUGCCCAUGCCCCUGCCCAACCCAUUAUGGCCAUGCCCCUUCCCUUCCUUAGACUCACCUCCCUGGUGUUGUGGAGGCAUUUGGCCUCAAUGUCGUAUCGCUCCUCAUCCACCACCUCCACCUUGGCGUGCAGCUCCCGGCACAGGUCCUGGGGGCCGCAGAUGGAUCAUGCAGGUGUGAAGAAGAGGGGAACAGAGACAUCAGUUUCCAGCCCUUGACCCUCUCCCCAGCCCCUUUGCAAGACCUGGGAUCCAGAGAGGAGCUGACAGUCUCCUCCACUCUGAGGCUCAUGACGGGCAAUAGCUCAAAGGCUUUGCACAGGAUCAGCUCUGCAUGGAAUAGGAUGGUCCCCCCAGGACUGGACCAGCUCUCAGAGUGGGUGAGGAAGAGCUUGUGCUCAGCAAGGAUGCAGAGUCACACCCAACCCUGCUGCAAUACCAGUCCUUCCAGUGACAUGGUACACUGGCACAGCAACUCCCUGGACACUAGGAAGCCCCACAUCCAGAAUCUUCACCUGACGUUUCCAUCUCCUGGGAAUUUGUUCAGCCACUAAAUACCCUACACCCCCUGGACUCCCACCAGGCCUUAACACAGGCUCUUCCCUCUCCUCAGAUGCCAACCCCACCUUCCCACUUUUACCAGUCGUUAGAGUUAACCAAGACAGAGAUACCCCAAAUAUCACUUACCUCGCUUCAGGCAUCCAUCACAGGAAGGACGGGGAAAGAGCAGAACACAGAGUGAGUAUGAACAAUGAGGAUUACAUGUGCAGUCGCAGAACCUCACAGACCAGCUUGGGGGAGGAGGGGGCCAGUGACAACAGUGAGCCAGAAAGUCAUCAGGCAUCAGGCAAGGGGAGCGGUUUGAGGUUCCGGCAGAAUAAAAUAAAAAUUCAACAGCCCUUUGAACUACGGGGCAUUCUUAUUGGGAGGUACUGGGCAUCGUAAGUUGGGGACAAGUGGUGGAAGGGGAGGGAAGCCUUAGCGUAGGGUUCCAGCAACGUGAAAGCAUCCAUCCACGGGUGCGUGGGUAAAUUCCCAAAGCUUUGUUCACCUACUGCACCAGUGUUAAGUGGUGGCCUGGUACAUGCAAUUCAUGUGAUAGAUCAAGACAGGAAAUCUCUGAGGCACAAGCCAAAAAGGCACUCCCAGGGCAACCUGGGAGUGAGUUCUGCUCAAUGGCUGGGAGGACACAGGCAGCACAGGGGAAACCAUCAAGUGCUGCCCCUGUUUGAGGACCUGGUCUCUUAGGGAAAAGCUUUGGGGGUUGAAAACAUGGUGCCUCCACUGCGGGGCUGAAGUCUGUGGCAAAGGGACUUGCCUUCCUGGGGCCCCAGAUGGCAGUGAGACUACUUACACUUCCGGCAUGGUGGCAGUGAGACAGCACCUAGGGGGCACAGAGGAAUCAUUCAUAAGGGAAAGUGGAAACCCCUGCCCCUGCCCAGCUGGGCCUUGGGAGCCCAGCCUAGGAGACAGAGUCAGAACACAAAAGGAAGAAAUCAGACACAUUGGAUUCCAGCAGGUCAAGAUGGGACAGGGUUGCAGGGCAGGGGUCAGCUAACUACAGCCCAUAAGCCUGACCUGGCUCCCAGCCUGUUUUUGCUUAAAGAAUUGUAAGCUUUUUUUUUUUUUUUUUUUUUAAGAAUUUGCAACAGAAACCUUAUGUGAGCUACAAAGCUAUCUGGCCCUUUCCAGAUAAAGCUUGCCAAUCCCAGUGGAGAACAGAAUGGAGUCCAUAGGAAAUAUGUUUGGAAAGUGAGAGCAGCUGGGCGCAGUGGCUCAUGCCUGUAAUCCCAGCACUUUGGGAGGCCAAGGCGGGCAGUUCAUGAGGUAAGGAGUUCAAGACCAGCCUGGCCAAUAUGGUCAAACCCCGUCUCUACUAAUGAUACAAAAAUUAGCCAGCAUGGUGGUGCACGCCUAUAGUCCCAGCUACUCAGGAGGCUGAGGCAGAAGAAUUGCUUGAACCCAGGAGGCGGAGGUUACAGUGAGCCGAGAUCGCACCACUGCACUCCAGCCUGGGUAACAGAAUGAGUCUCCUUCUCAAAAAAAAAAAAAAAAAAAUAAGUGAGAGUGUAGCUCACUCAUGAGGGCCUUGAAGGACAGGCUGAGUUUAGACUUUAUCCUGUGGAAUAAGGGUGGUCAUUGAAGGGCUCAGAGAGAGGAAGGCCUAGAAAGUGAAUGAGCAGAGUGGAUGCUGGAAAACGGGUAGCUGCCACAUGGCACAACUCCAUCCACAGAUGGCAAUGCAACUGGCACCUCCAGGGUGGGGCAGUGGGAGGCCUUGAGUGGGAGAGAAUAAGCCGCAAGGCAGGGCAAAUCCCGUGUUCACCCUAGUCUGUCUUUCCCCUCUCUGGGUUGGUUUUCCUCUCUGCAAAAUUAGGGGUUAAAUCAGUGAGUUUCCUCUUGAUGUUUAUUAUUAAUAAUAAGUAAUUAAAAUAAUAUUUAAUUAAUAUUAUUUGGUUGAAUCCUUUGUC
This 4521-nucleotide long non-coding RNA is filed under the name Homo sapiens (human). Its description in RNAcentral is "HSALNT0019954". Lineage: Eukaryota; Metazoa; Chordata; Mammalia; Primates; Hominidae. The record is from RNAcentral.